This 497-nucleotide ribosomal RNA is filed under the name uncultured bacterium. RNAcentral describes it as "partial 16S ribosomal RNA". It matches the Rfam family "Bacterial small subunit ribosomal RNA", at positions 28 to 507 of the family's 1533-position model. The record is from RNAcentral.
GAUGAACGCUGGCGGCGUGCCUAAUACAUGCAAGUCGAGCGAACAGACGAGGCGCUUGUUCCUCUGACGUUAGCGGCGGACGGGUGAGUAACACGUGGAUAACCUACCUAUAAGACUUGGAUAACUUCGGGAAACCGGAGCUAAUACCGGAUAAUCUAUUCAACCGUAUGGUUCAAUCGUAAAUGACGGUUUUGCUGUCACUUAUAGAUGGCACUGCGACGCAUUAGCUAUAUGGUAAGGUAACGGCUUACCAAGGCAACGAUGCGUAGCCGACCUGAGAGGGUGAUCGGCCACACUGGAACUGAAACACGGUCCAGACUCCUAUGGGAGGCAGCAGUAGGGAAUGUUCCGCAAUGGGCGAAAGCCUGACGGGGCAACGCCGCGUGAGUGAUGAAAGUCUUCGGAUCGUAAAACUCUGUUAUUAGGGAAGAACAAAUGUGUAAGUAACUAUGCACGUCUUGACGGUACCUAAUCAGAAAGCCACGGCUAACUACGUG